UACGGAGGGUGCAAGCGUUGUCCGGAUUUAUUGGGUUUAAAGGGCGCGUAGGCGGUCUUUUAAGUCAGUGGUGAAAUCCUCCAGCUUAACUGGAGAACUGCCAUUGAUACUGGGAGACUUGAGUACAGACGAGGUAGGCGGAAUUGACAGUGUAGCGGUGAAAUGCAUAGAUAUUGUCAAGAACACCGAUUGCGAAGGCAGCUUACUAGACUGUAACUGACGCUGAGGCACGAAAGUGUGGGGAUCAAACAGG
This 253-nucleotide ribosomal RNA is filed under the name uncultured bacterium. RNAcentral describes it as "partial 16S ribosomal RNA". It matches the Rfam family "Bacterial small subunit ribosomal RNA", at positions 524 to 776 of the family's 1533-position model. The record is from RNAcentral.